Molecule: ribosomal RNA, 253 nt
Filed under: uncultured bacterium
Lineage: Bacteria
Description: partial 16S ribosomal RNA
Rfam family: Bacterial small subunit ribosomal RNA
Source: RNAcentral
UACGGGGGGGGCAAGCGUUGUUCGGAAUUACUGGGCGUAAAGGGCUCGUAGGCGGCCAACUAAGUCGGACGUGAAAUCCCUCGGCUUAACCGGGGAACUGCGUCCGAUACUGGAUGGCUUGAGUUUGGGAGAGGGAUGCGGAAUUCCAGGUGUAGCGGUGAAAUGCGUAGAUAUCAGGAGGAACACCGGUGGCGAAGGCGGGUCUCUGGGCCGAUACUGACGCUGAGGAGCGAAAGCGUGGGGAGCGAACAGG